CCCAGCCAGGGACUGACCUCUGCAAGGAGCUGCCAGCAAAUGGAACAGCAGCUCAGCCAGCAUGGCCCAGUGGAUACAGCUCAGGGUUCCUCUAAGCUCCCAGAGUUUCUCUCACCCAUUGAAUCAUCAGGUGAAAUGGACUCUAAUAUUUACUCCCCAUCCGGCAUUAAGCAACUUUUCCUUCCUUCAGUAGUUUUAUUCUGUGCCUAUGGAGCAUGGAGGCACCUUCCUGGGAGAGAGGAACCGAGCUCAUUCCAUGUGAAGGAGUCACUAUUCCUACUUGCCUCAGCCUCAGAAGCCAAGAUGGUUCACAUGAAUGGCAGAUUGCUGCAAAUUAAUUAACAAAAUGAGCAUGAAGAGAAUCAUUAACUUCCAACAUUCCACAGAGGAGGAGCUUUUACUUGGUAAGAUGGACAGAGCUGUCCAUCCCUGCCUUCAAACCACUCUUCAGUCCCACCAAGUGUGUGAGCAGAAGAAAACUGACAAUCUGAAGUAAGCCAGUCACAUCCAGACUGCACGCAGUCAAACAAUGUGAAACUCAGCAGCUCCUGCCCAUCACCACUGCAGAGGAAAUACCAACUACAGCAGAACAAUCUUGGAUCCUAUCCCUGAGUGUCCAAGAAUGUGAUAUGUUUCCUCCAGAGCAUGACUGCAAGAAAGUCAAAUAAAUAACCAUUGUGACUCGGGAAGAAUUCACAUAAAAUGCCCAUAGGGGAAGAAACACCUACUUGGCAGUCUGUGGCUGUUUCUCAAAAGGGUCAUUUCAUCCUAAUCCUUCAGUCUGGACCCUCAGGGGAAACCUCCUGAGGAUGAGCCUAUGAUAGCUAUAGACUCAUUUAUAACUCUGCACAAUCCCAGAAAUAAGAGGCUUUUCAGAGAUAGAUUUUUGACCUUUUAUAAGCUCUCUUGUCCACUGCUAACCUCUCCAUGCUGUACAGGCUAGAGAGUACAAGUCUCUCUAUUUUUUUGCCCCAGGAGGGAGCAAGCCUGAAAUUUCUCCAUAUCUCAUGCACCCUCCUCUCUCCUGCAGUGAGGAGCCCCAUUCUUCACAGGGACCCAUCACCUGCACUAUUAAGCACUAUAACUAACCCAAAUAAUCAAAUUGGUACAUA
Oenanthe melanoleuca is the source of this 1112-nucleotide long non-coding RNA. RefSeq lists it as uncharacterized. The record is from RefSeq and is a predicted model, not a curated record. The transcript is spliced from 3 exons. NCBI's taxonomy places the organism in Eukaryota, Metazoa, Chordata, Aves, Passeriformes, Muscicapidae.